AAGAAGACCAUGUUAGAACUGCUAACUCCAACACCUGAGAUUAACUCCUCAGACUUCUU
This 59-nucleotide transfer RNA is filed under the name Acanthocercus atricollis. RNAcentral's name for it is "tRNA-Ser". Lineage: Eukaryota; Metazoa; Chordata; Lepidosauria; Squamata; Agamidae. The record is from RNAcentral.